AUGAUUCGUGGGACGUCCUGCCGGUGGUGGCGAGUCGAAGGCGUGCUCCCGUCGUGGUUUCCACUUCUUUUCUUGUUCGCCCGAGGCGGACCCCGAUGAAAUCCUACCGCGGUGCUCUUAACCGAGUGUCGAGGUGGGCCGGCACGUUUACUUUGAACAAAUUAGAGUUCUUAAAGCAGGCCUGUUGCGCCUGAAUACUGUGUGCAUGGAAUAAUGGAAUAGGACCUCGGUUCUAUUUUGUUGGUUUUCGGAACCCGAGGUAAUGAUUAAUAGGGACAGGCGGGGGCAUUCGUAUUGCGACGUUAGAGGUGAAAUUCUUGGAUCGUCGCAAGACGGACCGAAGCGAAAGCAUUUGCCAAGUAUGUUUUCAUUAAUCAAGAACGAAAGUUAGAGGUUCGAAGGCGAUCAGAUACCGCCCUAGUUCUAACCAUAAACGAUGCCAGCUAGCGAUCCGCCGAAGUUCCUCCGAUGACUCGGCGGGCAGCUCCCGGGAAACCAAAGCUUUUGGGUUCCGGGGGAAGUAUGGUUGCAAAGCUGAAACUUAAAGGAAUUGACGGAAGG
Molecule: ribosomal RNA, 561 nt
Filed under: Poecilimon thoracicus
Lineage: Eukaryota; Metazoa; Arthropoda; Insecta; Orthoptera; Tettigoniidae
Description: SSU rRNA
Rfam family: Eukaryotic small subunit ribosomal RNA
Source: RNAcentral